Molecule: transfer RNA, 69 nt
Filed under: Ateles hybridus (brown spider monkey)
Lineage: Eukaryota; Metazoa; Chordata; Mammalia; Primates; Atelidae
Description: tRNA-Glu
Source: RNAcentral
UAUUCCCACAUGGAUUAUAACCAUGACUAAUGAUAUGAAAAACCAUUGUUGUAUUUCAACUAUAAGAAU